CCUACGGGAGUCAGCAGUGGGGAAUAUUGGACAAUGGGGGAAACCCUGAUGCAGCGACGCCGCGUGAGUGAAGAAGUAUUUCGGUAUGUAAAGCUCUAUCAGCAGGGAAGAAGGAAAUGACGGUUCCUGAGUAAGAAGCCCCUGCUAACUACGUGCCAGCAGCCGCGGUAAUACGUGGGGGGCAAGCGUUAUACGGAAUUACUGGGUGUAAAGGGAGCGUAGACGGUAAUGCAAGUCUGGAGUGAAAGGCGGGGGCACAACCCCCGGACUGCUCUGGAAACUGUGUAACUGGAGUGCAGGAGAGGCAGGCGGAAUUCCUAGUGUAGCGGUGAAAUGCGUAGAUAUUAGGAGGAACACCAGUGGCGAAGGCGGCUUGCUGGACUGUAACUGACGUUGAGGCUCGAAAGCGUGGGGAGCAAACAGGAUUAGAUACCCUAGUAGUC
RNAcentral lists this ribosomal RNA (443 nucleotides) under uncultured bacterium. Its description in RNAcentral is "partial 16S ribosomal RNA". It matches the Rfam family "Bacterial small subunit ribosomal RNA", at positions 338 to 795 of the family's 1533-position model. The record is from RNAcentral.